This 406-nucleotide ribosomal RNA is filed under the name uncultured bacterium. RNAcentral describes it as "partial 16S ribosomal RNA". It matches the Rfam family "Bacterial small subunit ribosomal RNA", at positions 30 to 526 of the family's 1533-position model. The record is from RNAcentral.
AUUGAACGCUGGCGGCAGGCCUAACACAUGCAAGUCGAACGAGUGGCGGACGUGUGUGUAGUGUCUGGGAAACUGCCUGGUGGAGGGGGAUCACUACUGGACACGGUAGCUAAUACCGCAUACCAUCAGAUGUGCCCAUAUGGGAUUAGCUUGUUGGUUGGGUAACGGCGCACCAAGGCGACUAUCCCUAGCUGGUCUGAGAGGAUGACCAGCCACACUGGAACUGAGACACGGUCCAGACUCCUACGGGAGGCAGCAGUGGGGAAUAUUGCACAAUGGGCGCAAGCCUGAUGCAGCCAUGCCGCGUGUAUGAAGAAGGCCUUCGGGUUGUAAAGUACUUUCAGCGGGGAGGCGUUACCCGCAGAAGAAGCACCGGCUAACUCCGUGCCAGCAGCCGCGGUAAUUC